GGAUUAAUGAAGACUCAGGUAUAUGGACCUACUGCAGGAUUAAUGAAGACUCAGGAGCACGGACUAUUCUCUCAUGUUGAAUGUGGCGCUUUUUACAUACAAGCAGGAGAGCAACUACACCAAGAUUUUGGAAAACAUGUUAUGUAAGGUUAAUUGUGCCCUCUAAGAUGGGGAUCUGAUAAAGAAGAAAAAUACCUCACAGCGAUGAUUGGCAUGUGAUCACUUAGCCAAUGAGAUAAGAGGCUGUAGAAACGAUGUGAUGAUGACGUCUCCUGAGUUCCAGAGACAGAAGAGGAAAGAGGUAAAUCCAGGACAAGCAACUUCAUUUUAGCAG
This is a long non-coding RNA of Nomascus leucogenys (northern white-cheeked gibbon), 334 nucleotides long. RefSeq lists it as uncharacterized. The transcript is spliced from 4 exons. NCBI's taxonomy places the organism in Eukaryota, Metazoa, Chordata, Mammalia, Primates, Hylobatidae. The record is from RefSeq and is a predicted model, not a curated record.